GAUGAAGAACGUAGCGAAAUGCGAUAAGUAAUGUGAAUUGCAGAAUUCAGUGAAUCAUCGAAUCUUUGAACGCACAUUGCGCCCGUCAGUAUUCUGGCGGGCAUGCCUGUUCGAGCGUCAUUACGCCCCUCAAGUCCCCUGAGGACUUGGUGUUGGGGAUCGGCGAGGCUGGUUUUCCAGCACAGCCGUCCCUUAAAUUAAUUGGCGGUCUCGCCGUGGCCCUCCUCUGCGCAGUAGUAAAACACUCGCAACAGGAGCCCGGCGCGGUCCACUGCCGUAAAACCCCCCAACUUUUUAUAGUUGACCUCGAAUCAGGUAGGACUACCCGCUGAACUUAAGCAUAUCAAUAAGCGGAGGA
This 358-nucleotide unclassified non-coding RNA is filed under the name soil metagenome. Its description in RNAcentral is "partial contains 5.8S ribosomal RNA, internal transcribed spacer 2, and large subunit ribosomal RNA". The stretch from base 1 to 120 matches the Rfam family "5.8S ribosomal RNA", at positions 35 to 154 of the family's 154-position model. The record is from RNAcentral.